GACGAACGCUGGCGGCGUGCUUAACACAUGCAAGUCGAACGGAAAGGCCCUGCUUUUGUGGGGUGCUCGAGUGGCGAACGGGUGAGUAACACGUGAGUAACCUGCCCUUGACUUUGGGAUAACUUCAGGAAACUGGGGCUAAUACCGGAUAGGAGCUCCUGCUGCAUGGUGGGGGUUGGAAAGUUUCGGCGGUUGGGGAUGGAUGCGCGGCUUAUCAGCUUGUUGGUGGGGUAGUGGCUUACCAAGGCUUUGACGGGUAGCCGGCCUGAGAGGGUGACCGGCCACAUUGGGACUGAGAUACGGCGCAGACUCCUACGGGAGGCAGCAGUGGGGAAUAUUGCACAAUGGGCGGAAGCCUGAUGCAGCAACGCCGCGUGCGGGAUGACGGCCUUCGGGGUGUAAACCGCUUUCGCCUGUGACGAAGCGUGAGUGACGGUAAUGGGUAAAGAAGCACCGGCUAACUACGUG
Molecule: ribosomal RNA, 468 nt
Filed under: uncultured bacterium
Lineage: Bacteria
Description: partial 16S ribosomal RNA
Rfam family: Bacterial small subunit ribosomal RNA
Source: RNAcentral